AAAACGAUAUCAAACAAGACCUUGCAUGUUGUAUUAUUGUUUCAAGUUCUCGCAUAUUAUAGGAUCGCUUCCAAACAUAGUAAUAUUCCCUUGAUAGACUAUAAGGAAGAAAUGUGUGCGACUUUCAUCUAUAUCUAUACUACUAUUAAAAGACCAAACGUUACUUCCCCUACAUCCACACGAAAAAGUGCACACAGGAUUACCCAAGACGUCCGAUCAUACCCACUAACUACCAUCCAACAGUCCACGUUUCAUCAACCAUAAUACAAAUAGAUCGACGGUUCAAACGAAAUGUUCUGCCGGCAGACUCCCACGUCCAGGCUCCUACACAUCCCAACGAUAACAACUCCAUCCAGCGAAUAAUGCCCUAUCUCCGCAAUCAACGCCACCACGCCACGAACCUCGCGUCGGCACGCCGUCCCGCGGUCCUCGCUCCGCCCCGCCCCGCCCGGCCGCCCUUGGCACGCGACCCUCGCCCCUGGUCUCCGCGACGUCCUCGACCCGCCUUGCAGCCCUAACUCUCCUCAAUACGCCGUCGUCACGACGCCGCCCUCGCCCCCGGUGUCAGCGACGUCCUCGACCCGGCGCGCUGCCUUACCUCCGGUGUCAUCACCCCUGUAGCCAGCAACAUCUCCAAUACAUAUGACUACUGCCAAACCUGGCAGUGCACAAGUUAGAUCAACUGAAUUUGCACGUCUUUUGGUCAGACAUAAGACAAAAGGAAUUGCUCUUUUAAUCUGACAACGUGUAAUUUUAUACUUACAGUACAUCAUGAUUUGCAUAGCACACUAAGUUCAGGCAGGGUUCAGAAGUGUUUCAUAACAGGAGCCAUUGAGAAUACAGUAUGUCCGGAUCUCAGCGUAGUGGGGUACGUACUCCCUUUCAGGACCUGACAAACAACGACAGUUCAGGUAAAUACAUAUAUCACCUACUCUUACCUACUAAGAUCAUGUAAGUACCGACUAUGUUAUUGCGUCGCAGGUCAAAAAACAGAUCCAAAAGAACUAAAGAGACAGAGGGAAAGGAAGAGGUAUGCACUAAACAGGGAUGCAAUAUUGAAAAAAAGAAAGGAGUCUAUAUCUGUCUAUAUCUAUACUACUAUUAAAAGACCAAACGUUACUUCCCCUACAUCCACACGAAAAAGUGCACACAGGAUUACCCAAGACGUCCGAUCAUACCCACUAACUACCAUCCAAUAGUCCACGUUUCAUCAACCAUAAUACAAAUAGAUCGACGGUUCAAACGAAAUGUUCUGCCGGCAGACUCCCACGUCCAGGCUCCUACACAUCCCAACGAUAACAACUCCAUCCAGCGAAUAAUGCCCUAUCUCCGCAAUCAACGCCACCACGCCACGAACCUCGCGUCGGCACGCCGUCCCGCGGUCCUCGCUCCGCCCCGCCCCGCCCGGCCGCCCUUGGCACGCGACCCUCGCCCCUGGUCUCCGCGACGUCCUCGACCCGCCUUGCAGCCCUAACUCUCCUCAAUACGCCGUCGUCACGACGCCGCCCUCGCCCCCGGUGUCAGCGACGUCCUCGACCCGGCGCGCUGCCUUACCUCCGGUGUCAUCACCCCUGUAGCCAGCAACAUCUCCAAUACAUAUGACUACUGCCAAACCUGGCAGUGCACAAGUUAGAUCAACUGAAUUUGCACGUCUUUUGGUCAGACAUAAGACAAAAGGAAUUGCUCUUUUAAUCUGACAACGUGUAAUUUUAUACUUACAGUACAUCAUGAUUUGCAUAGCACACUAAGUUCAGGCAGGGUUCAGAAGUGUUUCAUAACAGGAGCCGUUGAGAAUACAGUAUGUCCGGAUCUCAGCGUAGUGGGGUACGUACUCCCUUUCAGGACCUGACAAACAACGACAGUUCAGGUAAAUACAUAUAUCACCUACUCUUACCUACUAAGAUCAUGUAAGUACCGACUAUGUUAUUGCGUCGCAGGUCAAAAAACAGAUCCAAAAGAACUAAAGAGACAGAGGGAAAGGGAGAGGUAUGCACUAAACAGGGAUGCAAUAUUGAAAAAAAGAAAGGAGGCAAGGGAUCGUAAGAAAGCUAUGCCCGCUAUUUUAAAUGGAACCAACACUCCAUCUAAGCCACCCGUGGCCAUGUCGCCUGGUUACUCAAUUUUCUCUGUUCUCUAUCAUACAUUUCAUUAAUCACAUCUAAAGACAUGUUAAUUAAAAGUCCCUUUCGACAGGUUUUGACACUGUGGGGAUGCCCAGUGCGCAGUCUGCUAUCACCCAGCAACGGCACACACCAGUUGUGGAAGGUCAUGUGUUCUACUACAUCCAGACAUACUACCGGCUUUUGUGUGUCAGCAACUGACUUUGGUAAUACAAUUUUGAUGCAGGCAUACUUGUUGAUGUGGUAAUGAGUGAUCAGACUCCACUUCAUGGUCCAUGUGAACUAACAACACCAGAUACUGUCGGGUCUAACAAGGAAAAUGUUGAUAAUAUUAACUCUGCCAUUGAUUCCUCCCAACUUACUGUGUUACGACCGCCACUUCAAGCCUACAGAUGCAGCAGUUCGUAUGGUAAUCAUUUCUGGCUCAUAUUAACAAUCAUACAUAAUGCACACAUACUUCGUACAUAGUAUAAACCUAUGUUGCUCAAGUUGUCUUGAACCUAAUUCACACUUACUAUACAGAAGAAAAACAAGCACUGAAGAGGCAGAGGGAAAAUGCCCGGUAUGAGCAACAUAAAGAAGAGAUAUUGCAAAGCCUACGUGACAAACGUCGUGCAGCCAAAUCUACAGUAGUGCUUACAACCGGAGAACAAAACCAAUCUGAUACAGGUGAUGCCAGCUACAUGAAACACUGUAUUUCUUAUAUUAGAUUUCCUAACUGAGAUUCACUCGAUGUUUCUGUAGCUGAUGAAGAUUGUGAUUGGCUCCACACAAAUGAUAUGUACCAGAGACAAACCAUUGGAAGGAUGAUGAGGCGAGACAACAUAGUCACUGCGUCGUCACGUGGACACAAUCAAGUCAACAAUUAUAAUGGUGCUUUCAUUGACUACUUCUUGGUUCAUGCCUUUCAUUCAACGCUGAAACUUGCCCAUUUUGCAACAUAUGUUGUCAGGCAACGACCACGACGAUGAUGCAUAUGGAAUACUGGAGCCCGAUGGCAACACAACAAAUAUGGAUGGUACACAUAAAUGCAUUUACGGUUCUAUGUUUAUUUUAGGAUAUCUUAUAACUAAUAUUUGUCUACUAUAUAGACUGCUUGGGAGUUGAAAAUCUUAUUGAAACUGAAUAUGUUGAGCCUGAUGAAGAAGCUAGGAUGUUCGCCCACCAAGGUACCAUAUUGCUAUCAUGAGUUUCCAUAUAUAGUAUAAUACUGUCUUUUCUGCAGAACAAAAUAUUAAUUAAUCUUCAUAUUCCAAUCCAGAUGUUGACUUUGAAUCCUACCGAGUUGAACGACGUCACACUGAUGGAACACCAACAAAUGAUCCUAAUGAUAGGGCUUACAUUAACCUUCCCAAAAAUCACCAUGUCCUUAGAAAAGUUAGGGACUGUCUCCACUGUGGAGCAUUGCGGUUUCAAUACGAGGGACCUGCAUUUUGUUGCAGAAAGGGGAAAGUAGAUUUAUUUACUCCCGAGGUCCCAGACGAGUUGAAACGGUUGUUCACAAGUCAACGUGAUGACGAUGCUAAACAUUUUCGAGACAAUAUUCGGUAUUUCAACUCUCACUUCUCAUUCACAAGUCUUGGAGUCACCCUUGAUCGUCGAGUAAGCACUGCAGCAAGAACCGGCGUAUAUACCUUUCGUGCUUGUGGGGGGUUGUACCACGCUCUUGAUGAGCUGGUGCCGGCUGAUAAUGGCCCUAGGCAUUUGCAACUCUCUAUUUAUGAUACAGAUCAUAACUUGGGGCACAUGACUAAUAUGUCUCCAGAUCUAGAUAUAGAUCUCAUACGGAAAAUUCUGGGAAUACUAGAGCAGAACCCUUAUGCACAUGCUUUCAAGAGCCUUGGGUCUGUUCCGAAUCUAGAUGAGUACAAGAUCUCACUAAACACAGAUAUCAAGUUGGAUCAACGUAGGUACAAUGCCCCAACGACUUCUCAGGUGGCAGGGAUAUGGGUUGAAGGGAGUGAUCCACAAAACUAUUUUGACAGGAGUGUUGUCGUGCAUGCCAAAAAAGGAGACCGACCACUCUAUAUUAGAGCAUACUAUGGUUGCUAUGACCCAUUGUCAUAUCCACUGUUUUUACCACGUGGGGAGACUGGUUGGAAUCGUUGGAUGCCGUAUGUUCAGGCCCCCGAUGACACCACCCAAUUUCCAGCGCAUAAUUCUGGACCACAAGAAAACCGCACCUCUGAUUUACAUCCAGGUAUGAUGUUCAUUAUUAAUUUGUUAUCUACUUACUAUCUUUAAGAAGAGUAAUAAAAACAUUUGACUUCGUUCACCUAUCAAACAGAUGAAAACUUGAUUAAUGGAAGGGAACGAGUUGGCACCUUUGUGCCAGAUGAAGACCGGGUCACUGGUUUACAUGCAGGUAUGGUGUUCAUUAUUAAAUUGUUUUUAUAUACUUGCUAUCUUUGUGAAUAAAAAGUUCAUAUGAAACUUAUGAAUUGGAUCGCCUAUCAAACAGAUGAGGAUUUAAUUAAUGAAAGGGAACAGGUUGGCAAUUUUAUGCCAGAUGAAGGCCAAGCGACUGAUCUACAUGCAGGUACCAGUCAUCAUUGCUUAUAUUCUUAAGCAAAUCUUAUGUUGUCAGUCAUUAUGAGUCCAGCCAGUCUACUGGUAUUUAUGUUCAAUGUUGUAGAUGAUAACGAGGAUAUCCAAGAUGAGGAUUUUGGUGACAAUGAGGUCAAUGCAACACAAUCCAGGAAAUUUGUUAGUGCAAGGGAGUACUACUGCUUCAAGCUACAGGUCAGGAAGAAGCUUUUUAACAUCAUCUUGUUUGGUGGGCGCCUUUUCCAACAGUGGGCGGUUGAUAUGUAUAUCAAGAUUGAGACUAUGAGGCUGGACUGGUACUCAAAGCCAGAAAAUCAAAAAGUUAUACGAGCUGAUCUCUACCAGGUAUGGUGCUUUUGUUUAUUCCAAUACAUCGCAAUACAAGAACAUUUUGAAAAUCAUGCCUUUUCCAUAACCUUGUAUACUCUUACAGGGUCUUGUUGACACCAUCGUUGCCGGCGAGUCACGCGGUGAUCGAAUUGGCAAGAGAAUCGUGCUUCCACGUACGUUUCCUGGUGGUGAUCGCGACAUGCAGCGGAGGUUGCUGGAUGCGAUGGCAAUAGUCCAACAGUGGGGUAAACCGGAUUAUUUUAUCACGAUGACUUGCAAUCCCUAUUGGGAGGAGAUAACCCAUAAUCUGAUGCCUGGACAACUGCCACAAGACCGUCCAGACCUUGUGGCAAGAGUAUACAAGGCUAAACAACGAGAUAUGAUGGACUUGCUAACUAAGGGUAAGCAUUUCGGAGAAGUCCCAGCUUAUGUACAUGUCACGGAGUUUCAGAAACGAGGCCUUCCUCAUGAGCAUAUACUUUUAAUCAUGAAAACAAAAAGCAAGUUAGCAUCCCCAGAUGACUAUGAUCGGGUGAUAUCCGCAGAGAUACCUGACAAAGAGAAACACCCCGUUCUGCAUGACCUGGUCGUCAAACACAUGCUGCACGGACCCUGUGGUGAGUUGAAAAAGAGUUGUCCUUGCAUGAUUGAGGGACAGUGUAGGUUUCAUUAUCCGCGAGAUUUUUGUGAUGCCACACAACAAGGGAAAGACUCUUAUCCCAUCUAUCGGAGGAGGGAUGAUGGGCGUGGAGUUAGGAUCAGAGGAGCGAAUUUGGACAAUAGAUGGGUGGUCCCUUACAACCCUUCUUUGCUUAUGCGAUAUAACUGCCACAUUAAUGUGGAAGCAUGCUCGAGCAUCAAGGCAGUCAAGUAUUUGUUCAAGUACAUCUAUAAAGGCCACGAUCGGACGUCCUUUGCAUUCGAGCAGGACAUAAUCAAUGAUGGUGGAAUCAUCAAUGAAAUCCGACAAUAUAGGGAUGCACGCUACGUAUCUCCUCCAGAGGCUAUUUACAUGAUUUUUGGUUUCAAAAUGUUUGGUGUCAGUCCAUCAGUGCUGCAGCUCCAGCUUCAUUUGCCGAACAUGCAUACAAUUGCAUUUAAAGCUGGUGAAAAUCUUGAAGAUGUUGUCGCUCGACCAUCUUCAUCCAGGUCCAUGCUUACCGAGUACUUUGAGAUGAACCGGAGGAAUCCGCAAGCACAGAAAUUGUUGUACAGAGAGUUUCCAGAGCAUUAUAGAUGGAUAGCUGGAAAAAAGAAGUGGCAGAAGAGAAGAAAUAACAGAUCACAGAUUGGAAGACUUGUGUAUGCACACCCUGCUGAAGGAGAGAGGUACUACUUGCGUGUGCUGCUAAGUCAUGUUCAAGGUGCCACUUCUUUUGAUCAUUUAAAAACAGUAAAUGGCAACCUAUGCACUUCCUUUAGAGAGGCAUGUGAGCACUUAGGCCUCAUUGAGCACGACAAGACUCUUGAUGAUUGCAUGACAGAGGCAGCCACAUUUCAGAUGCCUUCUGCCCUAAGACGGUUGUUUGCAACUAUAUUGGUAUUUUGCGAGGCAACGGAAAUACGACAAUUGUGGGAUAAACAUCUACCAUCAAUGUGUGAGGACUACAGUCGUAAUGAAUCCAAUGAGCCGGUACUUGAGCAGAUGGUCCUUCGAGAUAUUACGGAUAUGUUGCAAUCCAUGGGAAAGGAUAUUAAGAGCUAUGGACUUCCGGAUCUGGUUGAGACCGAUGGUUCUUAUGACAGUGAGUACAAAGAGGUAACAGAGGAGAGGCAAAUCACCACGGACACAGAACAUCUAGAUCUAUUUAGCAGUUUGAACAAUGAGCAGCUAGCUGGUUUCAAUGACAUAAUGGAUCAUGUGAUGAACAAAAAAAGCCAGAUAUUCUUUGUUGAUGGUCCAGGAGGAACUGGGAAGACGUACUUGUACAAGGCAUUGCUAGCAAAGCUGCGUUCCAUGGGCGAAAUCGCGAUCGCAACUGCUACAUCUGGUAUUGCAGCGUCGAUAAUGCCUGGAGGACGCACAGCACACUCCCGGUUCAAAAUUCCAAUCAAGCUCACUGACAACAGUAUGUGCGGUUUCACAAAACAGAGUGGUACAGCGGAUUGCUUAGACAUGCGUCCCUGAUAAUUUGGGACGAAGUCGCUAUGACAAAACGACAAGCAGUUGAGACGCUUGAUAGAUCACUACAGGAUAUAAUGGAAUGUUCUUUGCCGUUUGGAGGAAAGGUUGUUGUAUUUGGUGGUGAUUUCAGGCAGGUCCUACCCGUUGUGACACGUGGGACAAGAGCACAAAUAACGGAUGCUACACUUCUGAGAUCCUAUCUUUGGGAGAAGACCCGCAAGAUACGUCUCACGCGCAAUAUGCGGGCACAGGCUGAUCCUUGGUUCUCAGAAUACCUACUAAGGAUAGGCAAUGGAACUGAAGAGACAAUUGGCGACGAUUAUGUCCGUCUCCCUGAGGACAUUGUCAUUGGCUAUACCGAGGAUGAAAAAGCUAUUAACAUGCUCAUCGAAAAUGCCUUCCCAUCUUUGCAGGCCAAUGCUAGAUCGAGAGAGUACAUGAGUGCACGUGCUAUUCUUUCAACCAAGAACGAUCAUGUCGAUGACCUGAAUGACAAAAUGAUCUCCAGGUUUCCAGGCGAAGAAAAGUUAUACCAUAGUUUUGACUCAAUUGAGGAUGACUUGCAGAAUAAUUACACAAUUGAUUUUUUGAACUCAAUCACACCAAAUGGCUUGCCCCCGCAUGUUUUGAAAUUAAAGGUCAACUGUCCAGUCAUUCUGCUCCAGAACCUCGACCCUCAUAAUGGUCUAUGCAAUGGAACAUGGCUUAUGAUCAGAGCCUUUCAGGAUAAUGCAAUCGAUGCGGAGAUUGUUGGUGGUCAGCAUGCUGGAAAGAGGGUGUUUAUACCUAGGAUCCCUAUGUCACCCUCAGAGGACAUCUCACUUCCUUUCAAACUUAAGAGAAAACAGUUCCCCAUCCGCCUGAGUUUUGCCAUGACAAUUAACAAGGCACAGGGUCAGACCAUCCCAAAUGUCGGCAUUUACCUUCCCGAGCCAGUAUUCUCACAUGGGCAGCUAUAUGUUGCAUUGUCAAGAGGAGUGUCGAGAGAGACGACAUGGAUUUUGGCCAAGCCAAACAAGGAUGUUGAUAAAUCCGGGAAAAGCACCAAGAACAUUGUCUAUAGAGAUGUUUUGGAGAGAUGAGGCAGGUGCAUUAUUCCAUUAUUUCUUUUCACAUACUAUAAUGCUUUGGAAACCAGCUUAUGAAACUAGCUCCUUACAAGCUUAUCAUUUUUGUAGUCGUAUCUCAUGUCAUCCACUAAUCACUUCACAUUUUUUAUUGAUCAGGUUUGAGAAAUAUUCUUGUUCAGGAUAAUUGAGGCUUUGCUGUGGUUACUGGUCUCCACAUGUGCAACUUGUAAACCUAUAUGGAAGAGAAGAACAUGGUCGAAUGAUGCUACGACAGGGUGUCAGAUCAUACAUAAUAAGGAAUGCUUUGUGCUGUAUCCUGUACUAUCUACAUUUUCCCUUCGAAAUUACUUUCUGUUAAACAUGUUCUUGAAUGCCCAAGUGAGAUGCUCUAUGAUAUAUUUGUAACGAAAACUGCAAAAGACUGAGAUUCCUGGAAUAUAUUCUUGAAUGCCUAUGUGAGAUGUUAUAUAAUCUAUUUGUAACGAAAACUGCAAAAGACUGAGAUUCCUGGAAUAUAUUGAAGUUAAAAGGCAUUUUUACUACUAUGUUGCAAAUAGGACGUUCCCGGAUCUAUAGCACACGAGCUCACAUGCUUUCUUUUUUUAGAAACAAUCAAAAGAAUAAUGCAUACAAUAUUCAUAAAAGAAUAUAAGUCAUGUAACAGACUAAACUGGUGGAUAACCACAGUGGGCGAGAAUACCUCUUCCAACAUGCAUCAAACCAGUUGAAGAUAUGCCUCCUAUUCCGUGCAGCAUUUUCUACUUCACCUCUUCACCGAUCUCCCCCUUGGCUGGCUUGAAGGAUCAUGUGAUGAACCAAAAAAAUUCAAAAGAACAAGUCGUGAUCUCCCGCAGUCGCAAGCUCAUGUACAAGAAGGCAACCACCAUACAACACCUGAAUUUCAAAUGAAACAGAAAAAAUUAGUUUCUCAAAUAUUAAAAGGGUGUGCCUUUUCUGAAUUAAGCCCACGAUUACAGAAGGAAGGUGGGCCAAUCACAAUAUUUAUGCAUAUAAAAUGUACCACGAAAAUAACUCCAAUAAUUUUGUGUGAGUAUAAAAAAACACAAGAUAAGAUUCUGGGGCCUCAGAAAAAUCCGGGGAUGAUAGCAAUCAGGAGUCCCCAAUUAUCGCGAUAGUAGUUUCCUUUCUCUCACGAUUCUGCCUUAUAUUGCCUGAUACCAUUACUUUCACCUCUCCUCCAUCCUCCGUCGCGAUCUCUCAUCCGCAUCCCAACCUACCUCCACAACAAGUCUCUCCACUGAGCCACACACAUCUGCCCUUAGUGAAGCACCGUCAUCGUCCAUGUCUACGCCUCCGUCACCGGUGCCCCAUGCGAGUCAAUCUCCAACCAGAUCCAGUACUACUGUCCAUGCUAUCGAGAUGGUAAAGACAUAUUAUAUCCCUGUUCUUUCUAUGCAAGGUUUCCUAUCUAAAAGUGUCAUACUUGGGUUGUUAGGAUGGCAUCAACAAUGUAGCAAAGGAUGAGGAUAUAGAUAAUAUGUAGGUUGAAGAGGUCAUAAAGAAGGACGAGGAUACAAACUAUGAGUCGGCACAGGUGAUACAAGAAGACUCUACUAUGGAGGAUACAGAGUAUAUGCAUAUUGAUGAGGUGAUAACCGUACAGGAGGAUACAUAUCCCGAGUCCACAGAGGCAAGUUUUCUUUCCACAUGUCAUUACUAUUCUAAUUCUAACACCAAAGAGCACUUUGUAAUUUUUUUUAGUACAAUAUCAUAUCAAAACGAUAUUCUAUCUGUUAUAAUAUUAUACUACCAUGUGUUUUAGCUACCGAGAGAUGACGAAUCAAGUGAAGUACUCAACAAUAAUGAAGUGGAGGAAAAUAAUUGCACGGAGAGCUCAGAAUAUACACCUAUUCUUGAAGAAAACAUAGCAAACAGAGAGGCCAAAGAUUCUGAACAUACAAAUGUGACUUUCCUUUUCCAACUACUUCUUCCAAAACUAUUAUAAUUAUAUUAUAUCCUACAUACGGGUAAUUCUUUUAAUAUUGUUUUCAGAAAUCCCACAACGAAACAAGUCAACAAAUGGUGGCAACUGAGGACGAGAAAUUGGCACAAACACCCGGCAUGGAAGGGCUUCAAACUAUAGAGGACGAGCUAACAAUGCCCGUGCAUAUAAAGAAACAUAUACGACGACAUAACAAGCCUAAGAAGGCACAAGACUAUGUUGUUUCUCCACAAGGCACAGAACGAAACCUGGAGAUGUCCUUGUACUGCUAUAUUAUUGUUUUUGUGUUCAUUAUCAUUAAAUGUUAUUAUGGCCAUCGUGACAGAUUAUGCCUGCACUGGCGAUGAUUGGUCCGUUAUAGAAAAAAUCAGAUCCGAACCAAGUAAAGAAAGAAAUUUAGUGAGCAUCGGCGACGCAUUUCUGAAAAAAAGACAUUUAGUAUCUCUUCUAUCUCCCGAAGAAUGGGUUGGCGACGAAGUAAGUAUAUUACGACAUGAAGAUGCUAUUUGAUUAUAAGUAUGUGCCAUCUAAUCUACUAUGUAUACUUUUAAUUGUAGGUCAUAAAUACGUACAUAAAUUGCAUGAUUUUUACGGAGCAUCUACAAGUAAGGUCAGGUGGAAGUGUGUUCUUAGAGAAUGCAUGCAUCUCUAAGAUGAUGAAGAUCGGUAGCUAUCUGCCCUCAGAUGACAUGGAUGCUGCACCAGCAUGGGUAUUAAACAGAGCCAAAGCGUAUUUGAAAAAUGAUAUGGUUAGUCUUACUUUUCUACAUAUUUCUAUGAAUUACAGCAAGAACGACCGAUUCGUCCACAUACUUCUACAACUAAAAUAAUCAUUUUCUUCAGAUAUACUUACCAAUAAACAUGGACGGCAUUCACUGGUAUUUAUGUGUUAUAAAUGCCAAAAAAAAUGUGUUCAAGUGCUCGACUCGCUAGGCCCAUACAUGAGCCGCAAGGACCUCACUGAUACAGUUAGUACUUAGUCCUACUCCCCCAUCUUUUCUAAGAACCUUCUUUUCUUAUUUCUCACUUGUGAUGCUUAUACUUUUUCCAUUUGUUGCUACAACAGCUAGAAGGACUAGAGGAUUUAUUCAAAUAUGCAUCCAAGCACAUGGAAUUAAAAUCCGAUAAGUGGAUUGAUCUAGAUGUUACAACAUGGAAAAGAGAAGAAUAUAUUAAGAGCCGUCUUCAGACGGAUGGGUACGCCUCCUACUAGAACUCAUCGCAUUUAUGCUUAACAGGGCACAUUUGGUAUGUUAUUAUGUUUAUUUUAUCACUCAUAGCAUUCCUGAAUCACAUUUGUUCAAGAGAUUUGGUAUGCCAAUGCAAUUAUUUACCUUAUUGUAUGCCAAUGCAAUUGUCACAACACAUCUCAUGAGAUCUGGCCUAAAUAAUGGAGCUCAAGGCGAUACACUUCAUUGGGCUGCAUAUAAAAAAUGCGUUAUGAUUUUCAAUCUAUUUUUAUUCACUCAUAGGGCUAAAUAGAGUAAGCAGCCACGCAUUAACUUGUACUAUCAGCUAUGCUAGCAAUAUUACAGGAGAAGUAUCAGCUAUGCUAGCAAUAUUACAGGAGAAGAAGCAGAGCGUGUUCUGUUAUACUAUUAGGCAAUUGAGCAUAGAUCAAGUGUUUCUUUCCGCACCUGCAUAAAUUUGGGUAUAGCUCCAGGCCUUAUUUUUUUCUCCAUUUGUACCAUCCU
Molecule: long non-coding RNA, 11849 nt
Filed under: Triticum aestivum (bread wheat)
Lineage: Eukaryota; Viridiplantae; Streptophyta; Magnoliopsida; Poales; Poaceae
Description: long non-coding RNA (TAES_LNC023035)
Source: RNAcentral